Molecule: long non-coding RNA, 403 nt
Organism: Danio aesculapii
Lineage: Eukaryota; Metazoa; Chordata; Actinopteri; Cypriniformes; Danionidae
Exons: 3
Source: RefSeq, a predicted model, not a curated record
GAAGCUUGCAGUUCUGAUUAUGACAUUUUUCACAGUGAGGAUGAAGACCAGAACUGCUGGUCCUAUUCUUGCCCUGGAGGUGACGUACAAGAUUCGAACCCCAUCGUCGUGGUCAACUCCUCUCAACAUGGCGAGCUACUAGACAAACUGGUAACAGCGGAAAAACCAUCCAUAUGGAGGCAUUGGUGAUGACUUCAAGAUGAUUAACGUUGUACCCAAAUAUCAUGGGACGUUGCAUUUUCUGGUAGAAUUGAAACUCAAGUUGUGUCCAAUUUUGGUCAGUUUCCAACACAACCUAAAAACAACUAAAUAUCAACGUCUAAUGAUGUUACAGGUUGAGUGUGUGGACGUCACCAUUGUGAUGUCUAUUAGAUGUUGGAUUUUGAAUGCCAUACUUGACGAA